Molecule: ribosomal RNA, 523 nt
Filed under: Roseivirga spongicola
Lineage: Bacteria; Pseudomonadati; Bacteroidota; Cytophagia; Cytophagales; Roseivirgaceae
Description: bacterial SSU rRNA
Rfam family: Bacterial small subunit ribosomal RNA
Source: RNAcentral
AGCUGACAGCCAUGCCGCGUGCAGGAAGACGGCCUUCUGGGUUGUAAACUGCUUUUCUACGGGAAGAAAAUGCCCUUGCGAGGGAAAUUGCCGGUACCGUAGGAAUAAGCACCGGCUAACUCCGUGCCAGCAGCCGCGGUAAUACGGAGGGUGCAAGCGUUGUCCGGAUUUAUUGGGUUUAAAGGGUGCGUAGGCGGAUCUUUAAGUCAGUGGUGAAAGCCUGCAGCUUAACUGUAGAACUGCCAUUGAUACUGGAGGUCUUGAGUACACUAGAGGUAGGCGGAAUUUAUGGUGUAGCGGUGAAAUGCAUAGAUACCAUAAAGAACACCUAUAGCGUAGGCAGCUUACUGGAGUGUAACUGACGCUGAGGCACGAAAGCAUGGGGAGCGAACAGGAUUAGAUACCCUGGUAGUCCAUGCCGUAAACGAUGAUUACUCGAUGUUGGCGAUAUACUGUCAGCGUCCAAGCGAAAGCGUUAAGUAAUCCACCUGGGGAGUACGCUCGCAAGAGUGAAACUCAAAUG